RNAcentral lists this ribosomal RNA (221 nucleotides) under Priestia megaterium. Its description in RNAcentral is "partial 23S ribosomal RNA". It matches the Rfam family "Bacterial large subunit ribosomal RNA", at positions 1123 to 1345 of the family's 2925-position model. The record is from RNAcentral. Lineage: Bacteria; Bacillati; Bacillota; Bacilli; Caryophanales; Bacillaceae.
UUAAAGAGUGCGUAAUAGCUCACUGGUCGAGUGACUCUGCGCCGAAAAUGUACCGGGGCUAAACGUAUCACCGAAGCUGUGGAUUGACAUCUUAGAUGUCAGUGGUAGGAGAGCGUUCUAAGUGCAGUGAAGUCAGACCGUAAGGACUGGUGGAGCGCUUAGAAGUGAGAAUGCCGGUAUGAGUAGCGAAAGACAAGUGAGAAUCUUGUCCACCGAAUGCC